Molecule: ribosomal RNA, 847 nt
Filed under: Codinaea trisetula
Lineage: Eukaryota; Fungi; Ascomycota; Sordariomycetes; Chaetosphaeriales; Chaetosphaeriaceae
Description: partial large subunit ribosomal RNA
Rfam family: Eukaryotic large subunit ribosomal RNA
Source: RNAcentral
CCAACAGGGAUGCCUCAGUAACGGCGAGUGAAGCGGCAACAGCUCAAAUUUGAAAUCUGGCCCCCCGGCCCGAGUUGUAAUUUGCAGAGGAUGCUUCUGGCGCGGUGCCUUUCCAAGUCCCCUGGAACGGGGCGCCAUAGAGGGUGAGAGCCCCGUCCGGUUGGCCGCCAAGCCUGUGUGAAGCUCCUUCGACGAGUCGAGUAGUUUGGGAAUGCUGCUCUAAACGGGAGGUAGACCCCUUCUAAAGCUAAAUACCGGCCAGAGACCGAUAGCGCACAAGUAGAGUGAUCGAAAGAUGAAAAGCACUUUGAAAAGAGGGUUAAACAGUACGUGAAAUUGUUGAAAGGGAAGCGCUUGUGACCAGACGUGCGCCGGGUGUUCAGCGGGCGUUUUCGCCCGUGCAUUCGCCCCGGCGCAGGCCAGCGUCGGUUCGGGCGGGGGGACAAAGGCGCCAGGAACGUAGCUCCCCCGGGAGUGUUAUAGCCUGGCGCGUCAUGCCCCCGCCUGGACCGAGGUUCGCGCUCCGCAAGGACGCUGGCGUAAUGGUCCCCAGCGGCCCGUCUUGAAACACGGACCAAGGAGUCGAGGUUUUACGCGAGUGUCUGGGUGUCAAACCCGCACGCGCAAUGAAAGUGAACGCAGGUGGGAGCUUCGGCGCACCACCGACCGAUCCUGAUGUUCUCGGAUGGAUUUGAGUAGGAGCGUAGGGCCUCGGACCCGAAAGAUGGUGAACUAUACUUGGAUAGGGUGAAAGCCAGAGGAAACUCUGGUGGAGGCUCGCAGCGGUUCUGACGUGCAAAUCGAUCGUCAAAUCUGAGUAUGGGGGGCGAAAGACUAAUCGAACCAU